Molecule: small nucleolar RNA, 141 nt
Organism: Chanos chanos (milkfish)
Lineage: Eukaryota; Metazoa; Chordata; Actinopteri; Gonorynchiformes; Chanidae
Product: small nucleolar RNA SNORD94
Exons: 1
Source: RefSeq, a predicted model, not a curated record
AGGGCAAUGAUGAGUGGCGCAGGGGUACGGACCUCAGCUGAUGAUGGGAGCUGAGUGUUUGGUGUCUGAUCUCAGAUCAGUGGGCAUGUGGCUAGCUGUCUGAGAGACACCAACACGACACAGUCGCCUUGUCUGAGCCCA